GCCGUAUCGUCCGCCAUCUUGGAUAACAAAAAUCAUUGCAAAUACCCCCCCCCCCCCGGGUCACAAGCAAUGUUAUCAGGCUGCUUCAUUCCUGUGCAGGACGGUAGGGGCGACCAGUUUUACCCAAAUCGCAUUUCUAUAAUUCUGAACAGAGAAUUUACUGAUGCAUUAGGACUGGUAGAUAUAAAUUAAGUUUUAGAUGCAUUGCAAGAUCAACA
Non-coding RNA from Paramuricea clavata, 218 nucleotides. Lineage: Eukaryota; Metazoa; Cnidaria; Anthozoa; Malacalcyonacea; Plexauridae. The record is from the annotation of a GenBank genome assembly.